This 253-nucleotide ribosomal RNA is filed under the name uncultured bacterium. Its description in RNAcentral is "partial 16S ribosomal RNA". It matches the Rfam family "Bacterial small subunit ribosomal RNA", at positions 524 to 776 of the family's 1533-position model. The record is from RNAcentral.
UACGUAGGGACCAAGCGUUGUUCGGAUUUACUGGGCGUAAAGGGCGCGUAGGCGGCACUUUAAGUCAGUUGUGAAAUCUCCGAGCUUAACUCGGAACGGGCAACUGAUACUGUCUUGCUAGAGUACAGAAGGGGCAAUCGGAAUUCUUGGUGUAGCGGUGAAAUGCGUAGAUAUCAAGAGGAACACCUGAGGUGAAGACGGGUUGCUGGGCUGAUACUGACGCUGAGGCGCGAAAGCUAGGGUAGCAAACGGG